RNAcentral lists this long non-coding RNA (21672 nucleotides) under Prunus persica (peach). RNAcentral's name for it is "long non-coding RNA (PPER_LNC008452)". Lineage: Eukaryota; Viridiplantae; Streptophyta; Magnoliopsida; Rosales; Rosaceae. The record is from RNAcentral.
GGGGCAAAUGAGUGGAGUUGCUCUAAGAGGUGGGUAGCGUGGGACAUGCACUCAAAGGUCACAGUCCAAGGCAGACUUUGCUUUUUGCAAUUCAACACUUCCAAUUUCUUUCUUUGUUCCUCAAGAUUUGUUAGAUAUGGUUGUUUUGUUUGUCCCUCCCCCACAUGCUUCACUUGACAAACAUGAAAAGGAGAUGAAAUCCGAAAGGCAAGCACAUAGAAAUGACUUUUGAUUUGAGUGUACAUUGCAGGAAAGUUCUUUCUUCCCAUUUCAUUAAUUUCAUGGCCAACUUAAAAAUAAAAAAGAAGCAUGCGGUUGGCUCUUUGUAUAUAUGAUAUGACUGGUAGUUGGGUUGGGAUCCUUUGGGGAUUGGAAGGGAUAGGAAAUAAUGGGGUGGAAAUGGGACGUCCCUCAACAUCCAUGUAGUUGAAGAAAAAGAAUUUCAAAGAGGACAAAUAUCCACCUGGGCCCAAUUUCAUAGAGGCCGGAAAACAGAAAACUAAAGGGAUCAACCAAUUUCAUUGGACUAGUAGAUUUCAACCAAUUUCAAUUGUUUUUCUCUUUUUGGGUUCAAUUAGAUUGGAUUGCACUUAAAAUCUCCAAAACCAACUUAACUGGAUCACAGAAUUUAUUUAAGCCAGAGGAGUACAUUGACUCCAAUAUUACAUCCACCUAAUUAUGCAUAAACAAGGUAAGGUUGCUCAUUUUGGCCUCGACUCAGAAGAAGAAGUGGGAGGACGAACAGAGCAAACUCGGAUGAAACGGUGAAUCAGCAUGGCCUUCACUAACCUCCUCCUUGCUGGAAUUACAGUUCCAGAUUUUGGUUUGAACACCAACAAUGGCUCCUCAGUGUUGUUGUCGAUGUGGGUUUGUGCUGGUUGAUGAUCUUGAGGCGGCUUCAACUUCACCACCUCCUCUGGGCACUCUGUUUUCUGAUUUGCCAUCUUAUCUUUCUCUCUCUCUUUUCUGAGCUGAGCCCGAGGGUGUGUUUAAUUUGGUGUUUGUGGGGAGUUAAUUACUAAUUUGAGCCUUCUUUGAGAGUUUAAAUAAUCGAACAAAGAAGUGGGAUAUAUCUGGCAAAAAGAGAAGAAUCAGAUUCUGUGCAAGCCAUUAACUACAUAUCCCUUGUGUUAAUUAAUUACAAACAUUUGUCAUUUGCAUUUUUAAUUCCUGUGUUACUGCUUCCCGUUAUGAUUAUCUUUUUCCUUCUUGCCAUAGCCAUUGACAAAAAGGGGCAACAACUUUAUAAUAUUAGGUUAAAAAAUGGUUAUCAAUAUCAUUGUUUUGGCUUUGUACAUAUUCUAUUUUUAAUGUCGAUAUAUGAUCGACAUUAUUAGCCUCAAUGAAAACGUACUGAUAUAUUAUUGGUAUAUUUUUUGUAAAGAUCGAUAAAUAAAGACUGAAUGCUCGUAACAGGAGAAACACUUGUGCAAUGGGAGUUUGAGUUUAGUACAACUAUGAUUUUGUAUUUUUCUUAAUAUAAAAUCGGCAGGUGACGUCAGGUAGCAUGACGUGGGAAAUAUAUUGGAUGCAACCAUGAGACCGAGAGAGAGAGAGAGAGAGAGAGAGAGAGAGAGAGAGAUGAACAACACAUCAAUUGUUUAGUCUUUAAUAAACUUUUAGGGAGGAGAAAAAAGUGAAUUUAAUUCUCUUCUUUUUCUCUUCCCAUAUAUGCAGGAAUUGAUUUGAUUCAUAUAUAUCUUCAUUUUUUUUUUUUUACUCUCUAGACUGUGCUACUCUUUGCAGCAAAUAAAUCUAAACGACAAAACUGGAUGCGUUUUGACCACUUUUAGACCCUGCACAAAAUCAUAUAUGCUGCUAAGUUGCUAACCCUAGAAAAUACAAAUCAUAGACUUUAUCAAACAUUUUCUUCAAGGCUCGUCUACACCAGUUGUGUCGUUGUCUUUGUUUUCGGCAGACUUGGUGUGGCCGACAGUGUUUAAAUAGCUAGGUAGAAAUGUGACAUAAAGUCUAGGUGUGACAAAUUUCAAACUCGUCCUUAUAUUCCCUGCUUAAUUAUUUCCAUCGUUUUUAAUAACUGAAGUACGUAAGUCACACACUUUUUUCUUUCUUAUUGUGAUGAACGGUGAUUUUCAGUCUUUUUCCUUCACUGAAUCAAUCUAGAAACAAAGCCAACGAAGCAACAGCAAAGACAAAACGACAAGUGAAAACUGGGCCCCUUUCCCUUCAACUUUGUUAAAGCCAUCUCCAGCCAUGCACUGAUGUGAAAGAGAUAGCACAUCAAUUCCUUAAUCUUUAAUAAAACUUUACGGAGGAAAAAGAAGUGGAUUUAAUUCUCUUCUUUUUUUCUAGUCCCUAUACUCUGAUACUCUGUGAGGUACGCAAAUAAAACUGGAUGACGUAUCAAAAAAAAAAAGAAAAAAAAAGUGGAUGCCCUUUGACUACUUUUAAACCCUACCCAAGAUAACAUAUGCUAAGCCCACAAAUAUUAUUUGAAGCCCCUCCCCUCUGAAUAGUUCAAAGUAAUAAUAGUAAUAUGUAAUCACUAAAGUAAGCAGUUCAACUUCUUUUUUGUGAUGGACGGUUUGGAUGAGUGGUUUCCAAUCUUGGUGCUCAACCUUUUUUCUUCACUGAAUCUAGAAACAAAGCAAACGAAACAAGCAGAGACAAAAUGACAAGUUAAGAAAUUUUGGGACCCUUGGUUCUUCAACUUUGUUAAUGAGGGUAUUUGGGAUGCGCGAUUAUCACAUGAACUUUAAGUAUGUGUAUGAUUAUCACAUGAACUUUUAAUUUUAAUUAUUAAUCACCAAAACUUUAUAAAAUGUAAUAAUUUACCAUCUACGUAUAAUUCCAUUAAAAUUUCCGUUAAGUCAAGUCAUAUUAUAAUUACAGAAACUUAACAAAUUUGAAAAUAAUUAUAACAAAAAAUAAAAAUCAAGCAUAUUAUCUCUCGCCUCCCCCAACAUCUUUCUCCUGCAUUAUCAUUUUGCAAUUCAAGGUGAAGUCUUUCGAAAAGUGGGAGAUAUGCUCAAGAGUUCUCUAAUACAUUAAAACUUAGCAAUUAUGUCCUUUUCCUUUUUUCUUUGUGCUAGUAAAAUUAAACUUCGCAAACCUAGUUAUGGCAGAAUUUGUUAUUGAUUUGCAGAGCUUGGCUCAUUGUUUGUGCAGUGGGGGGAAGAGAGAGAGAGAGAGAGAGAGAGAGAGAGAGAGAGAGAGAGAGAGAGAGGAGUUUUAGGGCGAGUGUGGGAUAGGAGGGAUGGAUUGUUGUGGGCUGUGGCCUUUUGGUUAGGAAGGGGGCUGUCAUGAAGGAGAAGGGGGAAGGGGAGCUUGUGGGAUAAUUAGGUUGAAUUUUGUUUCUUUUUUUUAAUUAUGUUAGUUUAAAAAAAUGUAAGUUUUUAAUUAUAAUAAAUUGAUUUGGCAAAAAAUAAAAUAAUGAAUUGAUGAAAAUCACUUAAAAAAAAUAUUACAUGUUCAACAUGCGACUUUAUUUAAUGGAAAUUUUAACGGAAUUACACGUAUGAGGUAAAUUGCUACACUUUGUAAAAUUGAGGUAAAAAUUGAAAAUUCUAGUGGUAAUCGCACACAUAUCUAAAAAUUUAAGUGAUAUUUACGCAAAUUCUAAGAAAAAUUAAUUAAUUUAGAAAGUGAAAAGUGAAAACUGUCAAUCUUUUGAAGAAAUUGUAAUUAAGGAAGUGACCGACGCCUCCCUUCCCUUCCAGGCAUUGAGAUUUCGUUACUUGUCUACAUUGCAUCUCAUUUCCUUAUAGAAACUAGUAACGCAGAAAAAGAAGUUGAUUUUAAAACACUAACACACAAAUGAUAGCACAAGCAUACUUGAUAUACAUUUUGGAAAAAGCAAGUCAAAAUAACAUCAUCGAUCUACUGUUCUUGCAGGAGGAGAGAAAUAGAAACAUACCAGCACAAAGAAAACUUGAGUACAAAGAGUGAAAGAGCCAAUGCAACUACUGUCACAGAAACCCUUGCAAUUGAUCUCGGCACAGAAUCCUAGCACCCAAACACAAAACGCAAACAGAACAACAAAAAAUCUUCAAUUUCUACUAAAAGCAAGAAAAACAGCCUGCAUUGAAAUUGCACAAUCGAUAAAAGUUUGAAAGUGUAGACUAAACAUAACUUACCGGCACAAGAUUGGUUCCUGCCUCAAUUCCAUCUCUCCCAACCUUCCAAACUGUUUGUACAACUAUUUCACACAAUUCAAACCAGCAGUCAACACAAAUGUAAACAUAAAACUCAACGGUAAACUAUUUGCUCUCUUGUAUGAGCAGGAAAGCAGCAAAAGUAUGUGAUGCAGAAAGGUAGAAACACUGUGAAUUGGAUGUAAAAAUCACUGAAUUGAAACAACGGACUUCCAAAGCACUGAAUUGAAAUCCACAAUCAAUGUUAAAAAUCGCUAGGCGGUAGUCGGGCGCCUAGGCGUUUUUUUUUAAUUUAUAAUUAUUUUGUAUUAAUCGCGGCCUGGUGAUGUUCGUCGCCGGUGGAGGCCUGCUGGUGGUGGUCUGUCGUGAGAGAGAGAGAGAGAGAGAGGAAAAAAAAAAAAAAAUUUUUAAGGAACUGACCCGCCCAGGCUGCCUAACUCCCGCCUAGCCGCCUAGCCCCGCCUAGGCGGAUUUUUCGAACACUCGACAAUUUAACGUUAAAAAUUGUCAUAAUCUAACAGAAAUUAACAUGCUUUCGACAGAUAUUCACCAAUACAAUGCUAUUCAGUUGCAAAAAUACCUUUUAUCCAAAUCCAAAAACCAAAAAUAUAAAAACACGAUUCAUAAAAUAGCAAAUUCGACGAACCCAUUAAACAACAAUGUUCAGGGAUCAUAAAUACCAAACAGAAGAAGAAGAAGAAGAAACGCAAGGAAGUGCAGCUAGCUAACCUUUUAAGAAAUUGGACUGUGCAGCGAACACAACAGGAACAGAGCGAUACCAUCAAUAUCUUUCUCCAAUUUGAUUACUUUACGCAGACUAAUUGAGAGCUGGAACCGCCAUUUUAGCUUUCAACCAGUGAGUCUCUCACUUUCUCUCUCAGCCUCACAAGCAGCGGCUGUGGCCUUUUGGUUAGGAAGGGGGCUGUCAUGAAGGAGAAGGGGGAAGGGGAGCUUGUGGGAUAAUUAGGUUGAAUUUUUUUUUUCUUUUUAAUUAUGUUAGUUUUAAAAAAUGUAAGUUUUUAAUUAUAAUAAAAUUAUUGGCAAAAUAAAAAAAUAAAAAAAUUGAUGAUACUCAAAAUAGCACUUAUUCAACGUGUGACUUUAUUUAAUGGAAAUUUUAACGGAGUUUACACGUAGAAGGUAAAUUGGUACACUUUGCAAAGUUGAGAUAAAAAUUGAAAGUUCAUAUGAUAAUCGCACACAUACCUAAAAAUUUAAAUAACAUUUACGCAAAUUUCCCAAAAAAUUAAUUAAUUUGAAAAGUGAAAAGUGAAAACUAUCAAUCUUUUGAAGAAAUUGUAAUUAAGCAAGUGGCCGACGCCUCCCUUCCCUUCCAUGCAUGCAUUGAGAUUUCGUUAUUGCUUGUUGUUUCUUUUUUGUUUCAAGACAAAUACUUCAAAACGCUAUGCUUUAUUAGGCCAAAAUUAACCAUUAAGCAGAGAAAGAAACCACACCAUUAUAUUAAUUAAAGCCAAGAAACUACAUCACACAUCACUACACACAAAGAAAUUAAAUAAACGAAAACAUUUGCAUGCCUAGAGGAGAUCCAUACUUUUCACUAUCGGAAAAUAUCCAAUUCUUACGAAGAGAAGUCCUACUGCCGCCGGCCAUCUUCGAGCUUUUUGGGAGUUUUCGAGUUCAUUCUCAUGUCUACCAUCAACCACUUCGUGAUUCUCGAUAAAUUUAUCAUGUUCUAAUUUCCUUUUGCUUGGACUAAGAUGCAGUUUAGCCAUGAAUACCUUAUUUAUGAGUUUAUGUUAAUUUGAUAUUAUUUUUCAUAUUAAGUAUCUUUUACCGUUCUUAAUGCUUUGAGUGCUUCAUCACCACUUAAUAUAUUGUAGGUUUUGGUGUUUGUCAUUUCUCAACCUUAUUAGUGUCAGACUUAGAGUGAAUAAUAAAGCGGUUUUUGAUGAUGCAUGGGAUGUUACAUUGUGAGACGCAACCAUUGACGUAAAGUUAAAGCGUGCGGCUGAAUAAUCUCUUUGUCUCUUUUUUCUUUUUCACCAAUUUAUUGUAUUUUUAAAGGGAAUGAAAGAAGAUAACAAUGUGAGUAGUAAAUCCAAUGAAAAUGGAAAAGAAAAUCAAAAUAAUUAACAUGACUAUCAUAACAAGGAAAAUGCUAGAGAUACCUACUAAUUACAUCAAUUUUGAAUCCUAACUGUUGUGACAAUAUUUUAUUUGCUAUAUAUAAAGUUGAAAGUAGAUUAUUAGGUCAUGUUUGGUAUCCUACUCAAAAAAGUAAAUUCAAAAACUAUGAUUUUUUUUUUUAAAACAUGAGCUUUCAAAUAGUGAUUUUAAGAUGUAAAAACUUAAUCCGACAGAAAAAAAAAAUCUAAAAACUUGUUUGGUAUUGAACUCUAAACUAUUUUUAAGAUCUAAAAAAAUUGAAAUUAAAAUCAAAAAAUCAGAAACCCUAGAUUCCCAAAUUGAAAUUAACAAAAGAAAAUUAGGAGAGAGAGAGAGAGAGAGAGAGAGAGAGAGAGGAAGAGGGAGACGGGAGAUGGGAGACAGGAGGAGGAAGAGAUAGAGAUGAGAUGAGAGAGGGAGGAGAGAGAAAGAGACGGAGAGAGCGGGGAGAGAGAGGGGCAACAACUUUGUAAUAUUGGGUUAAAAAAUGGUUAUCAAUAUCAUUAUUUCUGCCUUGUACAUAUUCAAUUUUUAAGACCGGAUGUCCAUAACAGUUGAAACACUUGUGUGCAACGGGGAUCACUGUUUUGCUAUUCUAGCCAAUCACGCAUAUGAUAACUUUUCCACUUGAAAUAGCGUGAUUAGACAAGAAUAGCAAAACAAUACUAUCCAUGUUCCAUAUAAGUUUUUCUGUCGUAAUAGACAAUUACUGAGAAUUUUUAUUUUUUAUUUAUUUUUUUAUUUUAUCAUUACAAUGUUUUUUAACAUAACAACUAUGAUUUCGCAUUUUUCUUAAUAUGGAAUCAGCAGGUAACGUCAGGUACCAUGACGUGGGAAAUAUGUAUAUGUGAAUUGGAUGCAACCAUGAGAGAGAGAGAGAGAGAGAGAGAGAGAGAGAGAGAGAUGAACAACAUAUCAAUUGUUUGGUCUUUAAUAAACUUUUAGGGAGGAGAAAAAAGUGAAUUUAAUUCUCUUCUUUUUCUCUUCCGAUAUAUGUCUUCAUUUUUUCUACUCUCUAGACUCUGCUAGACUCUUUGCAGCGAAUAAAUCUAAACGACCAAACUGGAUGCGUUUUGACCACUUUUAGACCCUGCACAAAAUCAUAUAUGCUGCUAACCCUCUGUCAAUUUCCUGCAUAACAUGUUGAUAUACACAGGCAAUAGCCACGACCAACAAAUUUCUCCACAUGUCAUGCGUGUACAUAUACAUAUUAAUCAAUAAGAUUAAUUUGAUGAUGAAAGUAGCUAGCUAAUUGGUGUGGCUCAUUUGGGUUGUGUUGUUGUCUUUGUUUUUGGCACAACAAAAGUCGGCGGACUUCAUCAGUAACCAGUUGGUGUGGCCGACAAUGUUUAAGUAGCUAGCUAGAAAUGUGACAAAAAGUCUAAGUGUGACAAAUUCAAACUCUUGUCCUUAAUUUCCUAAUCCCCCUAAAUGCCAAAAAGAAAAUGUUAGAUUUUUAUAGUGUCUAUAAUCUUUCACAUAACCUGAAAUACAUAAAAGAUAUAUCUAGCGUCAUUUUCCUUCAGUAAAUGAUUUCUGAACUCAUUCAAUCGCAGCAACAACAACUCUAACAAACGACACAAAUGGCUCAAGACUUCUGCUCUCUCUCAGAAACUAUUUCAGUUAUCUCUUUAUGAUGAGAUUAGGGUUAGAGAACGUGUCUGAUGAGAGCAUGGUCUUAAGCUUAUAUAGGGUUAGGUCAAGUCGUCUCUACUCAUCACUAAGACCCGACUUGACUAACACUCUAAGCCUAUUAAGCGACAGUUCAUGCAAAAGGAAAUAAAUAGGACCCUCCAGUUGGCUUCAAAAUUUUCCUUAUUUCACAAGAUUUUGGGUUUUGGGUCUCAAGGUACAGCAUAAUUUAAACUUUUAUCAAACCUGAUAUAACUUAGCAUCUAGUGCAUCGAUCUAAAAAAUAACAUAAUAGAAAAAUCCUUCUUCCAUCAAAAGGUCAUCUCUACAUCAAGUAAAAUCCACUGGUUAAUUAUUUUCAUCAUUUUUCAGGUGAAUAUUCUUUCUUGACAGGGAAAAAAAAGAAAAGAAUGAUGAGUCGUCAAAAUCUUGAAGAUUUCUGUUCUUUCUCCACCUCCCUGACAAUUACAGAAAGACACUUUACAUAAUUGUAAGGCUGGAAAAAUUUACUCUCCACAUCUUCGUAUGUGGUGGACAGUAAGGGAUUUAUUAAUUGAGUAAUAUAAAACACUUUAUCAAACUAGUUCUUGAAGAAAAGAAUAGAAAUAGUAAAUGUAAUAAUUAAAGAACGUAAGUCACACACUUUCUUCUUUGUUAUUGUGAUGGACGGUGAUUUUCAAUCUUUUUGCUACACUGAAUCAAUCUAGAAACAAAGCCAUCGAAGCAAUAGCAAAGACAAAACGACAAGUUGAAAACUGGGGCCCUUUCUUUUCCUUCAACUCUGUUAAUGCCACUGCCAGCCAUAUGAGAGAGAGAGAGAGAGAGAGAGAGAGAGAGAGAGAGAGAGAGAGAAGUGGCAAAAAGAAGGGUUUGGUUCGGGACAGAAAAGAAAACUAUCUAUCUAUCAAUAAUCUCCUGGAUGGAACAAGUCUAUAUGAAAUGCAUGCGGGCGGGACCAAGUUUAUCUGUAAAUUAUGAGGAAAAGUUGCACGCUUAGGACGUGGGAAAUUCAUAUAUGAAAUGAAAUAUGGAUGCAACCAUGUGAGAGAGAGAGAGAGAGAGAGAGAGAGAGAGAGAGAGAGAGAGAGAGAGAGAGAGAGAGAGAGAGAGAGAGAGCAUCAAUUCCUUAAUCUUUAAUAAACUUUACGGAGGAGAAAGAAGUGGAUUUAAUUCUCUUCUUUUUCUAAUCUCUAUACUCUGCUACUCUUUGAGGUACACAAAUAAAACUGGAUGACGUAUAAAAAAAAACUGGACGCCUUUUGACUACUUUUAAACCCUACCCAAAAUAGCAUAUGCUAAACCUACAAAUCAUGUUCAAAUUGAACCAAACAUGCUUCCAGAAACACUCGCAUUUGGAUAUAUGGUGCUUUACGCAAAGAAAUUAGGUCCACGUGUAAAAGAGCUUGAAUUAUACAGGGUUAUUUUCAUUUGCCAUUGUCCAAGCCCAUCUCUCACUCCUCUUGGGUGUCUAGUAAUUGUAGAAGAUUAAUUUUACAUGAUUCUCACUACAUAAUUAAUAGUCACGAUGGGGUGCUUAAAAACACUAGCGACAUCUAAUAGCUAAUAAUAACUAUAUCAUAAAAUAAAGUAAGACUGCCGAAAUUUGAAGAGAAAUUUUUCCGACUCAUUUUUCAAUCCUGGAUCCGUGCCUCAAGACUGUAAUAUUGUUUUCUUCAAGUGUUCGGGGCUUUGGUCGUAAUUAUAUAUCUUGCUAAUUGGAGUACAUGUAUUAACAAUGAUGAUAUAUAUAUAUGUAGGACUGAAGCCCCUCCCCUCUGAAUAGUUCAAAGUAAUAAUAGUAAUAUGUACUCAUUAAAGUAAGCAGUUCAACUUCUUUUUUGUGAUGGACGGUUUGGAUGGGUGGUUUCCAAUCUUGCUGCUCAGCCUUUUUUCUUCACUGAAUCUAGAAACAAAGCAAACGGAACAAGCGGAGACAAAAUGACAAGUUAAUAAAUUUUGGGACCCUUGUUCUUCAACUUUGUUAAUGAGGGUAUUUGGGAUGCACAUGCAAAUGGAAUCUUAGAACAUAUUUUUUCGUUUAAAAAAAAAUUUAAGAAAAUUUGCAUAAAUACUACCUGAAUUUUUAAGCAUGUGCGCAAUUACCACAUAAACUUUUAAUUUUAAUUAUUAAUCACCUAAACUUUAUAAAGUGUAACAAUUUACCAUCUACGUAUAACUUCAUUAAGAUUUUCGUUAAGUCAAGUCAUAUUAUAAUUAUAAAAACUUAACAAAUUUGAAAAUAAUUAUUAAAAAAAUAAAAAUCAAGCAUAUUAUCUCUCGCCUCCCCCCAACAUCUUUCUCCUCCAAUACCCUUUUGCUUAGGAAGGGGGUUGUCAUGAAGGAGAAGGAGGAAUGGGAGCUUGUGGGAUAAUUAGGUUGAUUUUUUUUUUUUUGCUUUUUAAUUAUAUUAGUUUUAAAAAAUGUAAGUUUUUAAUUAUAAUAAAUUGAUUUGGCAAAAAACUAUAUACAAUGAAUUGAUGAAAGUGUAUUUUAAAAAAUAUCACAUAUUCAAUGUGUCACUUUAUUUAACGGAAAUUUUAACGGAGUUACGCGUAGGAAGUAAAUUGCUACACCUUACAAACUUAAAGUGUUCAAUAGUAAAAAUUGAAACUUUAGGUGGUAAUCGUGUACAUACCUAAAAUUAGUUAAUUUAGAAACUGGAAAGUGAAAACUAUCAAUCUUUUGGAGAAAUUGUAAUUAAGCAAGUGGCGACGCCUCCCUUCCCUUCCAUGCAUUGAGAUUUCGUUAUUUUAUUUGUUUCAAGACAAAUACUUCAAAACGCUAUGCUUUAUUGCCUUGAGUUUUUGGUAGGCCAAAAUUAACUAUUAAGCAGGGAAAGAAACCACACCAUUAUAUUAAUUAAAGCCAAGAAACUACAUCACACAUCACUACACACAAAGAAAUUAAAUAAACGAAAACAUUUGCAUGCCUAGAUAUCCAGAACAUUUGCAUGCCUAGCGAUGCAUGGCCGAAGCUAGGUUAAUUAAUUAAUUUGGGUAAACGUGGUUACUCUUCUUGGUGUUGGAUGUUUUGGGCUUGUCCUGGGUUUCAGAGACUCCAGAUUCAGAAGCCAUGGAAGGACAAACAUGGAGUAUCUGAUCAAGCAUCAUGCUCUUUACUAACCUCCUCUUUGCCGGAAUUACACUCCCUGGUUUUGGUUUGAACCAUGGCUCCUCCUCCCUCUCAGUCUUGUUCUCGUGGGCUGUGAUUUCUUGAGAUGGCGUCAGCUCCUUAUUUGGCUCUUUAUUGCCCCCCACGUACUUAUCUUCCAUAUCUUGGGUCAAGUUCAAUGCCAUCUCUCCUUGUUUUGAUAACAAAGAGAUGAAGAUGGUGAAGAGAUUUAGAGAGAGAAACAGCAGAGAGAAGAGUUCAGAGAAAAGUUGAAAAAUAUGAUGAAUUGCAUGAGGAUUAGACUAGAGUAUUUAUAAACCGGAUUGGAAUUAAAGUUCCAAGUCUGUUAUUACGAGUUUCACCCCUUUAGAAAAAAAAAAAAUUGUAAAACAUGAUGUGUUGAAAUUUUGUCCAAUUUAACAAGUUCAGUCUUAGUAUUUAUAAGUAGUUCAUCUAACAUCGGCCAUAAUAUAAAUUCAAUUUAAUUGAAAAUAUCCAGUUUAAAUCGAGUCAUCAAACGACACGGACCAGCACAAGACUUGGUAACUAACAAUGAAAUCAUGUUAUUAUGUCUGAAACCGCACAUGAUAUAUUGUAGGUUUUGGUGUUUGUCAUUUCUCAACCUUAUUAGUGUCAGACUUAGAGUGAAUAAUAAAGGGGUUUUUGAUGGAUGCAUGGGAUUUUACAUUGUGGGACGCAACCAUUGACGUAAAGUUAAAGCGUGCGACUGAACAAUGUCUUUGUCUCUUCUUUAGUUUUCACUAAUUUAUUGUAUUUUUAAAGGGAAUGAAAGAAUGAUAACAAUGUGAUUAGUAAUAGUAAAUUCAAUGAAAAUGGAAAAGAAAAUCAUAAUAAUUAAUAUGACUAUCAUAACAAGGAAAAUGCUAGAGAUACCUACUAAUUACAUCAAUUUUGAAUCCUAACCGAUGUGACAAUAUUUUAUUUGCUAUAAAUAUAUAAAGUCGAAAGUAGACUAUUAGGUCAUGUUUGGUAUCCUACUCAAUAAAGUAAAUUUAAAAAUUAUGAUUCUUUUUUAAAACAUGAGUUUUCAAAUAGUGAUUUUAAGAUCUAAGAACUUGAUCCAACAAAAAAAAAAGAUCUAAAAACUUGUUUGGUAUUGAACUCCAAACUAUUUUUAAGAUCUAAAAAAAUUAAAAUUAAAAUCAAAAAAAUCAAAAACCCUAGAGUCCCAAAUUGAAAUUAACAAAAGAAAAGGAGAGACGAGAGUGGGAGGAGGAAGAGAUAGAGAUGAGAUGAGAGAGGGAGGAGAGAGAAAAAAAAACUAUAAAACUUCACUUUUGUUGUUUUUAAUAAUGAGGGUGUUUUUGAGUUUUUAAAAAUGGGCCUACCAAACGGAUUUUUGUGGUUUAAAACUUAAAAUCUGUUUUUGAGUUUAUAAAAUUGAGUCAAUACCAAACAUGCCCUAAUUUUUUGAAACUUAAAAAGAAAACAAAUGAAACGAUAAUAAUAUAAGAGUGGAUAUUAAUCAUAUACAUAUAACAUUAUGGCGCGUAAAAAGUUCAUCAUCGGCUUACUCUCGAUUGGGAUGAGGGACUAAUAAACAAAAUAAAUAAAAUAAAAGUUAUAAAGCCUUUUCGGGUUUGCCCAAGCUAAAGCACUACACUUUCGGCCUUGAGCAGUAAUGCUUUACAUACUUUUCAUUUCUUUCUUAAGAAGGUCCCAAUUUGUUCAUGGAUACGUACAUGAAGUUCAUUAGGGUUGGAAUUAAAAAUUCAAAACGUGACGCCUUCCGAAGCCAGGGAUAGUGUAUGAGUGUACCCUAAAGCAAUCAUGUAAACGCAAGAUGGAAUCAUCUGAUCCAUUUACCACCGACUGGUUUAGCUUUUUUGAAGCCACUAAGCGAGAGCUUUAGAUUUCCUCUUCCAUAUGUUUGUUGCACGAGCUUUAGCUUUUUAUGCCACUAAGCUUUUUUCUUCAACAUGUUAAUCUAAGCUUACCACUUAAUUGUGUUUUAUUUUUAUUUAAUCACUGAGACAAAAGCGCACAAUGAGGUGGCUCCACAAUGAAAAAUGUUGGCGUGACUUGUGGAUAUUGACUUACUUUCCUUACACACCAAGAAUUCCUAUUAUUAAAUUAUUUUAAGUGGCUUUUUCCCUUUUCUGCCUCUCUCUAACAUUAAUGAUGAUGUUGAUACAAACAAACGUGCUAAUUAAAUGUCCAUGUCUCAUCUAAGAACUUUGAACAUAUUGAAAGCAAGUGAUGGUGACUGGCUUGGCUUCUUUUUAGGUGAAGAAAUAGGGCUAACGCCCAACAAAGAAAUUAAAUAAUGAUUUGAGGCCUUUAGACUCUAAAUAAAUUUUCAUUAAGAAAAGAUCUAAUACUAUCAAGAGAAUUAUGGAAAGUUGACAGACCCAACUCAAGACACGAACCUAAUUUAAUUAAUCUAUCUGCCACAAUAUUGUAUUCACGAUAUACAUGAUGAAUAUAACAAAUUCAAUUUUUAUUUACAAAGGAUUGGCUUCUUUUUAAAGUAAGUAAAAUACUCACGUAGUUAAUGUAAUGGAAAGGUACCCUUCGCAGUUUGCAUAUAAAUUAUUAAUUGUAGCUUUUCUUUAAUAAAAGAUAUCUAACAGUGAUUCUGUUCUAAUAAUGUUGAAGAAGGUGAGUGUGGCUUUGAGACUUCCCAUUAAGCUUCACCUUGUUAUAUAUUCAUGCGUAUCUAUCUUUCUUUGGCCUGAGUUCUUUUCCAAUCAAAAUUAGCAUCAAUCCAAUUGACUAAAUCAUCAAAUCUACAAGUUGCCAACAAAAUUCAAAAGCCACAGUAAGUUUUUUUGAUACAAGCGACUCGAAUACAGGACUUCAAUACAACUGCAUUAUAUACAUUGAAGCAAAACACCAUGGUGACCAAUUGGGUAAAACUUCAAUCCAAGACAAGACUUUUCUUUUUGCAAUACAACACUUGUAUUUUGUUACUCUCUCUCUCUCUCUCUCUCUCUCUCUCUCUCUCUCUCUCUCUCUCUGGGUAAUUGAUUUAUUAUGCAUUGGUCUAAUGGAAUUGGACCCACAAUAAGUUCUUUGCUUUAGCUCCAACAAGAAGUGACCCCAACAUCUCCCCCCCAUGCAUGCAUUGGUUUCAAUUUUUUAUUUUUUAUUUUCAAUUGGAAUUGGCAAUUUCACCCGUGGUGCUAUAGUAAAGGGUAAGGGCAGACACUAUUUGCGUAAAUAGUGAUUGCCCUAUCCUUUUAAUUUUGCUUUUUCACCUAUUGUCAUGUCAAACUAAGGACAAUUACUAUUUAUAUGAGAUUAAUUUUAUUUAUAUGUAAAAAAACAAAUAUUUCUUAAUGUUUUUGAAUUAUUCAGAAUUUUUUUCAAUUUUUUAUAAAAAAAUUUACGUUGACGUCAUCGUCCUUAGACAAUAGCUAUUCUUGCCUUCGGCACCCAAGCUUGGUGAAGCCUACCAUCUGUAUGGGCUAGAUUGCUGCGUUGGAAAUAAUUUUUGAGACCUAAUGGGCAUUUUGUUUGGACUAGACUGCUAGAGUAGAAAUGCCCUUAUUGAUCAUCAAUUUGAUGGUGGCCCAAGUUCGCUUUAAAGUACCCUUAAUUUGGUUGCUUAAUUAGUAAUAUCCUUUUUUAUUUGGCGGCAAAAGAGUACCCUUAGAUUUAUCCUAGGAAAAUUUAAGAAAAAAGAUUACAGGACAAAAGCCAAACACACAAUUAGAAUUAACACCCUUUUGGAUUAAUUUGUCUGAUUAAUUUGUCUGGAUAUAUAAAUUAAACCAAUCAAUUGUACAUUGUCCAUUCAUCCCCAAAACCAAAAGCCAGAUUAAAAGAGUGCAUACAUGAUCAUAUUCAUUAACAGCAAAAAACUUAAUUACAUCCUAUAGGAAUUAAACGGGGCAUUAAGCUUUUAAUUCUAGGGAAAGAACAUGGAAAAUUAUGUUAUAAAACUGAGUUUCCUAGUCACUAAUUGGUGAGUAUUGACCAAUUGAUUCUAACUGACUUAUUAAAAUUCAUUAGAUUAAUUUAAUAGUUAAUAUUUAUUUAAAUACGUGUAAAUAUACCGAUAUUAAAUACAAGGGCGAGAUUCGAUAAUUCGAUAUAAUUGUCAUCACUUAUAUAAAUUUUUUUUUAUACAAGUGACGCAAAGUAAAUGUUGUUAACACUGCUGCAUUAUAUAUAUUGAAGUUCGAAGGGGAAACUGGAAUAACAUUGAAGCAAAACACCAACUAUGGUGACCAAUUGGGUAAAACUUCUGUGAAGACCCGUAUUUUUCAAAAAUAUAUGAAGAAUAAAUAUUUUGCUGCCUAUUUAGUUAUAUAUUUAAAUUGAUUAUAUAUAUAUAUAUAGUUGUUUUACCAUUUUAAUAAUUAUAUGUAUUUUAUUAUAUUAAAUAUGUAUAUAAGAAGCAUGAAGUAGAUAACAUAAGCUGGAGGUGGCACCAUUUCUUGGUUGCUUAAGGGACGUGUAAACACAUAAGGUUGUUGCCUUGCUAUCCAAGUGGCUAGCUGGCUUUACUUCAUUAAAAUAUUAUCCUAAUACCAAAUGUUAGCACUUAUCCUCAACCUCCAAACAUGUCAACCAAUGAUAGACUGAUAGUUGCCGCCUUUAUUCUAGUAUAAAUACAGAGUUUGCAUUUACAAAUGGUUUACUACAUCUAGAGAAAGGCAUGCAUAGUUUGCAUGAGAAACGAGAGACAAAUAGCGGUCGAGAUAAAAAGAAAGAGAGAGUGGUAAUAAUAUUCUUGGAGGAGUUAGAGGUUGGAGCUUGUGUUUUCUUAACUUGGAGUUAGCUUUCAAAACGAGAUAGGGAUUUUUUGGUGACCUUUUACAAAGAUUGAUCUAAUUAAAUUUCGUGAGUAAUAUAUUAUACAUGAUAUUAUUAUUUGAUUAUUAUUGAUAUUGGGUGUUUAAGUGUUGUUAAUUAUCAUUAUAUCAUUUUAUUAAUAUUGACAUGAUCAUAUGUUAUGAGUGAUAGCUGGAAUUCUUGGAUUGAUAAAGAAAUUAUGGAAAAGAAGGUAAUAGGAAGGAUCUUUUGUGUAGUUGAGUUUGACCAUUGUAGAGACCAUGUUCAGGUGAGCCCAUGUGCACAGUAGACUAGGAAAUCGGCGAUAUAAUUUUCGAUUGGGUAAUUUGGGCUUGGAGAUCAAUAGUGUAGACAAGACGACUAACAAAAGGAGAAUUAUGGGAUGAUUGAAAUGGGUGUUAGUUUAUAUAAAUGGGCAUUCGGGAUCAAGUGGUAUAAGCAUGGUAUGUGACGUGCAGGUCUGCUUGUCCAGUUAUAUGAAUUAACGGGAAUAGAUGAAGAGCAUUCAUGCAUUAUUAUUAUUAAUGUGAUAUUUGGCUGUGUGAUUGCAUGUCACUUAAUUUAGUUAUAUCAAUCUACUGUGGCAAGGUCUCAUGUCCCAACUGAGUGGUGGUUGCUCAUCCUUCACCCUGUUUAAUUUUUCAGAUGAAUUAGUGGGCAAGUCAAGGACUAAACCAGUUGAGGCUGAAUUAGAUGAGAAUGAUAGAGCUUUAUUUAUUUCUUGUAAAGUUGUAAGAUUUUGGAGCUAUUUUUAUAAGAGAAAUUUUAUUUUAAACCCAUGUUUCGGCUUUUUUUAAUUUAAUUUUAGUUUUUAUUUUCUCAAACACCGGGCUCGGGGUUUCCACCGACCCCCGGGUCUAGGGCAUGACAACUUCAAUCCUAGACAGACUUUUUAUUUUGUUACCUCUCUCUCUCUCUCUCUCUCUCUCUCUCUCUCUCUCUCUCUCUCUCUCUCUCUCUCUCUCUCUCUCUCUCUCUCUCUCUCAUUGGUUAAUUGAUUUUUUAUGCAUUGGUCUAAUGCAAAUAUGCCCAAGUUAGUAUGAACUUGUUGAAGUUGACUAGCUUAAAAGAGGUGAAAGGUAUAAAGGAAACAGUCAGUCAAAGAGCUGUAGACAAGUUGACUGGGCUCUGGCACUCGAGCAGCAAAUAGGUGUCUUGAGUGGACGCAGACGCUCGAGCUGGAGGCGCGGAUCCUUGGCAAAUUAGGAUAGAUUUCUUCCUAGUAUUGAGGGUUCUUUAAAUCUCAUAUUCCUUGUAUGAUUGUACUAAAGUCCUAUAUCAUAUAAAUAGGUACUUUAACUCUAGGUUUUAAUAAUGUGAGAAAAUUAAGGCAUUAAAUUGGGUUUGAGCAAAAGGUGUGAGAAAAAAAGAGUUAGGGUGGGGUUCUGCAUUGUAACCAAAGAGGUUUUUUCAUACUAGUGAAUUUCUAGGGGAUCGCCGAAGAGGACGCAGGCACAACGCCGAACCUUCAUAAAUUAUUAUGUGUCUGUGUGUGUGUGUUUACUUUUCUGGUUCGCCUGUGCUUUAUCUUUGCUUGACUUGUAUGUGAUAGUUGCGUAAUCCAUCAACAACAAGGUCUUGGAGUGUUUUUCACAACACUUUGCUCCUCCAAUUUCUUUCUUUGCUCUUGAAGAUUUGCUAGAUAUGGUUGUUUUGUUUGUCCCUCGUCCCCUACUUGACAAACAUGAAAAAGAGAUAAAAUCCAAAAGGCAAGCAUAUACAUGACAUUUCAAAGAAGACAAAUAUCCGACUGGGCCCUAUUUCAUAGAGGCCGGAAUUGAUCGAGCAAUGCAAAACUGUAGGGAGUUUUUAGAUGCUAAGGCCAAAUCUCCGGUGCCUUUUGGGGACGCUUCAGUUGAUCCAAACUUUCUUUCUCAAGGUGGAGGCCUCCAAUGUCAAACUAUGUGAAAAUAAAUUUUGAUGGAGCUUGGAAAAAUGACUCGCAUUUGGCAGGGUUGGGUAUAGUUGCUAGAAAUGCUACCGGAUCUUUUUGUGGUGGUUUAGCAACUCCAUUCCAUUGCAACUUGGCUCUGGUUGCAGAGGCAGCUGCUGGCCUUUGCGCUUUCAAAUUUUCUAUGAAUCAUAUGUCACAUCCGGGGAUCGGCUCCGCCGUAGCACGAUAUUGUCCUCUUUGGGCCCCCCUUUCUGCCCUCACAAUUUUGUUUCUGGGAACUCACGAGCAACUUCCCAAUGGGUCACCCAUCCUUGGAUUGCUCUGGCCCCAACUCACUUAACUUCCGAGUUCCCCUGACUCCAAAACAAGUGAGCUCUCAAAAGGCCUCGUGCUAGAUGGAAACGGACAUGUACAUAUAAGGCACAUCACCCCCUCUCCGUUGGUCGAUGUGGGAUGUUACAAUCCAUCCCUCUUAGAGGCCCGACGUCCUCAUCGGCACACUCGCACCAUACGACAAAGUGGCUCUGAUACCAAAUUGUUAUAUCCCGGGAUCGGCUCCGCCGUAGCACGAUAUUGUCCACUUUGGGCCCCCCUCCCUGCCCUCACGGUUUUGUUUUUGGGAACUCACGAGCAACUUCCCAGUAGGUCACCCAUUUUGGGAUUGCUCUGGCCUCAACUCGCUUAACUUCGGAGUUCCCAUGAUUCUAAAGCCAGUGAGCUCCCAAAAGGCCUCGUGCUAGAUGGAAGCGGGCAUGUACAUAUAAGACACAUCACCCUCUCUCCGUUGGUCGAUAUGGGAUGUUACAUCAUAAUUUCACAUACAUUAUUCUCGAGACGAAUUUGAAGAUUCUGGUGGAAGGAGUCAGAGGAGGAGAAAAAAAAUGGUGUUUGGGCUAUCCAACCUCUUAUGGAUGAGUUUAAGAAGAUCUCUAUUUGUUUUAGAUCUGUUCUUUGGAGCUGGGUGCCAAGGAAAUUGAACCGCGCAGCGCACAAGGCUGCAUCGAUUGGAAUCAGAGCGGAGCAAUAGGAAAGUUGGGAUGUCAGGCCACCUCCGUCUCUUGUGGGAGUUCUAAUGGCCUCUCUUGUCCUCCAUGGAGGUUUUCAUAAAGAAUUGUUGCUUUAGUUUUGCUCUUUUGUGACUUUGGCUAUUUGUCUCGGCUCUCUGUAUGGAGCUUAGUUUAGCCUCUCUCUUGUUUGUUGUGUUUUAUUGGCGCUAUUUUAGCGUUCAGUUUAAUGAAGUUCUUAUUCAGACCGAAAAAUAAAAAACCAAAAAAACCUCCCAAUACAUGUCAUGUCAUGUUUUACUUUGUGUAAGGCCUCAUUCGAUUCUCGGAGAACAUUUUAGAAAAUCCGGAUAAAGUUUGAAAUAUUCAAACCAUAUGGGGAUGAUUAAUUAGAUUGGAUUUCAAGUAAAAUCUCCAAAACCAACUUAAUUGGAUAAUCACAAUGCAGAAGGUUCUCUAAACUUCAUGUAUUAUAUUUAUUGUCGGGGGCAUGCAUUUCUAACUAUAAAUACUUGUAAUAUGUGGAGUUGCAACGAACAAAUUUGUGAGUUUGAUUUGAGUAUUCAAAUAAAGUUAGUGCGGAUCUCUCUUUCAUAAGUGUCUUUCUCUAUGUUAAGAGUUUGUUUGCUUCGUUCUUCUAGUUCUCUACUUGUUAGGGCGGCACUAGAAGCAGAGUUUCGGGGUUUUCAGGUCUCUCCUAGCCACUUGGGAGACAGUGGACCUAUCUAUUUUCCAUCUCAAUUCUGUUCUCGAAGAAUUUUAGGGAUGUGCAUUGGUUCCAUCACCUUACGCUGCAUCACAUUGUCAUCAGUCAUUUGUAUCACCCCGGCAAGCAACAAAUUAUAUCCAAGUAGAACAUAGGAAUCGUUCUAGAAGAUUGUUCCAUAAAAAAGACAGAUGGCUUUGACAGAAGCCAGUGAUUAUAGUUGCAAGGUGAGGCUGGUUUGGACUUUUAAUUAGAAUAAUAAAUAAUCGAAAAUAAAGAAGUGGGAUAUAGAAAAGAGGAAUCAGAUUCUGUGCAAAAAAUUAGCUACAUAUCCGUUGUGUUAAUUAAUUAGAAAUAUAAAGCAUCUUCCUCGUGAAAUAUCAAACAUUAAAUUUGAAUUUGAUAAUUUAUAUUGCAAUUUAACAUGUAAUAGAGAGAGUUUUACAUUCUUCUCGACUUGUCAAAUUAAAAUGUUAUUUUAUUACGUAAUGUACUAGUUUAUUACUUUCUAGAUACGUUGAUUGAAAAUAAAUAAUUAUAUUAUAUUAUAUUAUUAAAUCCCUCCUCCUACAACUCUCACCAAAGUUUAUAUUCCUCGUAUCAUAUUAUAAAGCGAAUUACAUCACACAUUAAAAAACAAAAAAAUUGUAAGUCUAAAACAAAACUUUUGUAUUUCAUGUUUAGUUUUUAACUUCUUUUUUCUCAUUAAUUAAUUAAUUAAUUUAUUGAUAUAUGUGUGAUGGGAGGGGCAGAGAAUUCAUUUCCCCACUGAAAGAGGGGAUGAGGAGCCACCAAUUUGAAUAUUACAAAUAUGUAGGCCAAAAUAGGGGACAAAACUUUAACGAGAAUAGAAAUAGAAACGAUAUAUCCUUCCUUGAUUUGACCCAUUGCCAUUCCUAACUCUAUACAAAGACUUUGGGUCUUUAUUGUUGGUACACUAUCGAUAAUAUGUUGAUAUUAUUAUAGUUAGAAAAAGCGUUCCAACAUAUUAUCGAUAUAUUUUUGCAAAGAUAGAUAAAUAAAGACCUUUUUUAUUUUUAAAUCAAUACAUUGACAGUUUUCCACAUCCUUUUCUUCUUCAAUCAACUUAAUAAUUAAAACUUUUUUUUUAGAACAAUUGAUUAAUGUGUUGAUAUACACACAAGCUAAUUACCUAGUACGGACAAUUUUCCCCAACUUCCAUGAACGUGCAUAUCAAUAAGAUUAAUUUGAUGAUGAAAGUAGCAAGGUACCAGCAAAGACUUUUAACAUCAAACAUUUUCUUGAAGGCUCAUUUGGGUUGAGUCGUUGUCAGUGUCAUUGUUUUCAUUGUUUUUGGCUGUUAUGUUGGCACAACAAAAGUAGGCGGACUUCGUCAGUGAAGGAAAAAAUGUGAUAAAUUUCAGACUCUGUGUCCUUACUUUCCCAAUCCCCCUAAAUGCCAGCCAGAAAAAUCCUUGUCCCAUCAAAAGGACAUCUCCAUAUCAAAUAGACUUUUCUUUGUAUAUCAGGUGAAUAUCUUUAGAUGAUGGCUUAUAUAUUCUUUCUUGACAUGGAAAAAACAAAGAACGAAAAGUCUCCAAAAUCUCGUAGAUUUCUGGUUUUAUUAUUUUAUUAUUAUUUAUAUAAAAAAAUAUAAGUUUCACAUCGAAAACUUGAUUACAUACAAUACAAUAUAUAAUAAAUAAUAAAUAAUUUCACUACUAAUAUUACUGAAGCUUUCAACACUUAUUGAAUUUGGUAAGUGGUUAAAUUGAAAAUAAUAUCAAUAUUACUAGUAAUAAACUAUUAACUUGUAUUUUUAAAAUUCAACAUGAUAUCAUAACAGAUUGAUUGAUUUGACUGCUGCGUCUAUUAAGAAGAAGCAGCAAAAUGAAUAGUAUAAAGGAAAGAAGGCGGACCACAAAGGACUAAUUGGCCAAGAAAGUCCAUGGACUUCAAUAGACAACUUUGUUGUCCACAUUAAAGAAAGAAAAAAAUCAACUUUUCCUUGAGGAAAUUACCCUACAAGUCUACACAUUCUUUCUCCAUCUCCCUGAGUCUUUACAUAGUAGGAAUUAUAAGCAUCAAGCAAUUUACAGAGUAGAUAUUAUAAGCAGAUCAUUAAUCUAUUAAUUAACAAGCCAGAUUACAUAAUAAAAUACUUGCGGGCGCACACACGCACACACACACACACUAUAUUUUAUAUACGGUAGCUUAAUAAAUUCCCGCUUAGAGCGGUGACAUGAAUCAGCAACAAAAAAUCCUCCUCAUCACUGACCUCCUCCUUGGUGGAAUUACAGUGGCAGUAGCAGUAGCAGUUGUGUUUGGUCUGGAGCUGCAUGGCUUAGUGUCGUUGUU